RNAcentral lists this ribosomal RNA (320 nucleotides) under uncultured bacterium. RNAcentral's name for it is "bacterial SSU rRNA". It matches the Rfam family "Bacterial small subunit ribosomal RNA", at positions 46 to 334 of the family's 1533-position model. The record is from RNAcentral.
GAUGAACGCUACGCGUACGAGGCUUAACACAUGCAGGUCGAGGGGCAGCAGUUAUCGUUAGACUUGCUAAGAUAGAUGGCGACCGGCGCACGGGUGAGUAACACGUAUCCAACCUUCCGGUUACUCGGGGAUAGGCUUUCGAAAGAAAGACUAAUACCCGAUGUUGCGUAUCUUUCUCCUGAAAGAUACGCCAAAGGAUUCCGGCAACCGAUGGGGAUGCGUUCCAUUAGGCAGUUGGCGGGGUAACGGCCCACCAAACCUUCGAUGGAUAGGGGUUCUGAGAGGAAGGUCCCCCACAUUGGAACUGAGACACGGUCCAA